AUAUUUAUAUUUAUAUACUUUAAUGCCAUACAUGCAAAGACGGGUUUGUUUGGUGAAAGGCAUGGUAGACCAAAUCCCGGCUGGUCCGACAUCUGACCAAAUCCGAUGGGUGGAAAUGGUCUACCACAACCAGGACGCACGUCAUUCAGUAAUGAUCCUUCCGCAGGUUCACCUACGGAAA
This 181-nucleotide unclassified non-coding RNA is filed under the name uncultured fungus. Its description in RNAcentral is "sequence contains ITS1, 5.8S rRNA gene". Lineage: Eukaryota; Fungi. The record is from RNAcentral.